This is a long non-coding RNA of Canis lupus familiaris (dog), 1227 nucleotides long. RefSeq lists it as uncharacterized. NCBI's taxonomy places the organism in Eukaryota, Metazoa, Chordata, Mammalia, Carnivora, Canidae. The transcript is spliced from 5 exons. The record is from RefSeq and is a predicted model, not a curated record.
GAGGGGGCCCUGCACCUGCCAGGCUACUUGUGCCCCCCACCCAGGCACUCAACCCCCUUGGCACUGCAGCUUUCACGGGAUGCGCACAGGGCCUUGGCCUUCUUCUGUGAGAACACCCUCAAGCAGAAGUCCCCAUCCUGGAAGGGCUCGAAGGUAGAUGGCACCAGCAGGUACUCCCCCGGGGGCAGCAGCAGCCGGCUGGACACCUCCCGCAGGAACCACCAUCAACCCCCCAGACUCUUCUCUGCAGCUGAGGAGCUCAAGCCUGUGGCUGGUGGUGGGGUGAGGGGGAGCUGAAAUCCUGCUGCUCAAGCAGAAGCCGCCAGAAAGGCCUGCUCACCGCUGCCUCUGGGAGAGUGUUUUGCAAACUGACCGGGCCAUCAAUCUGGGAGGCCAAGGAGGCAGAGAUCAGGACAUUUGCUUCUGUUCCUACACAGAGAGGAGCCCGGGGCGAGCAGUAACCGCCUGUUCAGACAGGAAGCGCACUUCUAACCUGGGACAGUCCUGGAUGACCUGCGAGGCCGUCUACACCUGAGAAAUCCGAAGGGAGAAGGGAUCUCGUUUUGUACUUUAUGUUCUAGUUAUAUGAUGGCCAGGACCCCAUGUUCUGCAGGACUAAUAACGGGGGCUCGAUGAGAGCAAACACCUCCCUGACCUGCAUGCCCGGACACAGACCCAAAGCAGUGAAGCCAAAGGAAGGAGAGGGACAGUCACCUCAGAAAAACACAAUCCUAAGCCCCAAAGACAGGCCUGCCUGGCCUGAGUCUGUUGUCACAGCAGGAAGACUAUAGGGACGGAGCAGCACAGACACAUGGGGCUCUGUGGCCUUUGGGGCAUCAGCGCUGCUCCCUAAUGGGUGACAGGCUUUCAACCUACACAGCAGCACCCGGGCGCGGGAAGCGUGUGCCUCGGCUUACAGCACAGCGCUGCGCAGAGCCGACGCUCACUAAAGCACGGUGCACGGACUCGCGAUCCUCAGGGCUUCCCAGGGCCCUGUCCCCACGAGCAGAGGAUCUGGGCUGGCGCUGCGCUCGCUCUAGGUGAGGCGGAGGGCCAAGCUGGCGCAAACCGCAGCGCAGCUUCUUUAUUUGAAAAUCUUUUCUCCUGCCAUCAAGCCACCAAUUAUUUUUCGUCGUGCCUUCUUCCACCACAAAAGACACACACACAUCACAACCUGGACUCAAAAGCCCUAAGUUCUAGGACAGGAGGAAAAAAAGGGGCAGGAGG